GAUGAGCCAAACUACCUAUCAGCACUGGAAGCAAAAUUUGGAUGUAAAACAUGAUAAUGUCUACCACAGACCUGGUUUUAAAAUUUAGCGGUAACACAACUUUCCCUUUUUGUUUCUACCAUGGGCUGAAAAUUCUCUGACCAAUUUUUUACGUAAUUGAUGCACCAGCUACUUAUAGCUACAGGGGACCCUGCCUGGAUGAUAAGAGCAGAGAUCCACGUUGCUUCUGAUUAUGAGAUCAGCCGCCCAAUCAAUGAGAUGAGGUUUCCUCGACGCACUUGUUUUUGUCAGAUGUAGUGAAAUGAUAUGGGUGAACGUGCAGGCUCAAUGUAGCUGUGGGUAGCAUAUGCCAGUCAGUGGUCUAGGGCCUUAUAGAAGACCACCAUUAGUCCCUUAAAGAAGGGCCCUUGUUUACCCUUAUCUAGAGGUUUAGCACUAAAUGAGUAUUACUACACAGACUAAUAACAUAAGAUAUUAACUAACAUUUGUAUUACCAGGUAUCCAACUAGCUGUUGUUAAACUAUAGGUUUCAGCAUUUUCUGGGAGCAAAAAAGUAAAGUGCAACAGAUGGAGGGUUGGAAGCCAAUGUACACUUUUUUUUACUUGUCACUGUAGAUAGAAAGUGUUCCAUUAAAAAUCACUGUCUUCAAUAGAAAGGUUAUUGGAUGUCCUAAUAAAAAUAACCCUAGUU
Xenopus tropicalis (tropical clawed frog) is the source of this 691-nucleotide long non-coding RNA. RefSeq lists it as uncharacterized. Lineage: Eukaryota; Metazoa; Chordata; Amphibia; Anura; Pipidae. The transcript has 2 exons. The record is from RefSeq and is a predicted model, not a curated record.